UAGUUUUUACAUUUGACAGUU
RNAcentral lists this non-coding RNA (21 nucleotides) under Caenorhabditis elegans. The record is from RNAcentral. Lineage: Eukaryota; Metazoa; Nematoda; Chromadorea; Rhabditida; Rhabditidae.